Eriocheir sinensis (Chinese mitten crab) is the source of this 547-nucleotide long non-coding RNA. RefSeq lists it as uncharacterized. The record is from RefSeq and is a predicted model, not a curated record. The transcript is spliced from 4 exons. Lineage: Eukaryota; Metazoa; Arthropoda; Malacostraca; Decapoda; Varunidae.
GAACAAGGGAGUGUAAUCGGCACGCUGACGCAUUAAAGCAAUGAAGCAGUGAAGCUCCUGACCCUCACCCGCCGCCGCCACUACCGACAGAGAGCGAGCGGGAGGCGGCCACCACGUCUCAGACAAGUCUUCAUCCCCUAAUUUUAGAGGCGAGUCCUCGCGGUGGAAGGAACGUUUCGUCCGGCAGACUGGCGGGCGGCGAAAGGCGGAGGCUGUGAAUACUCCCCAAGUCCUGCAUCACUGCUGGAUGGGUGGGGACCCAGACGGCAGGAGCAGGGUGACGAGGGCACUUGGUCUCCAGAUGUAGUGGACCCGAUAACGAAGGUUGCCAGGAACUAUAUUUGCCGGGCGAAGCAAAGUCUCGGCAGUUCAUCCUGGUCAGGAAUAAUGCCAUUUUAGAGAAUUAGACGCUGACACUACGGUUGGCGCCGCCCUUCCCACUCACCCCUCCACCAUCCUGCACAGUGCCUACCUCCCCUCACCCUCCGUCCUACUGCCCUCAUCACUCACUGACCCCCACCCCUUCCCUGCCUUACCCCUUCAGACU